GCCGCCUUAGCUCAGGGGUAGAGCACUUCCAUGGUAAGGAAGGGGUCCCCGGUUCGAAUCCGGGAGGCGGCUCCU
Molecule: transfer RNA, 75 nt
Filed under: Bacteroidetes bacterium QH_7_62_13
Lineage: Bacteria; Pseudomonadati; Bacteroidota
Also listed under: 1 other name
Description: tRNA-Thr
Rfam family: tRNA
About the family: Transfer RNA (tRNA) molecules are approximately 80 nucleotides in length. Their secondary structure includes four short double-helical elements and three loops (D, anti-codon, and T loops). Further hydrogen bonds mediate the characteristic L-shaped molecular structure. tRNAs have two regions of fundamental functional importance: the anti-codon, which is responsible for specific mRNA codon recognition, and the 3' end, to which the tRNAs corresponding amino acid is attached (by aminoacyl-tRNA synthetases). tRNAs cope with the degeneracy of the genetic code in two manners: having more than one tRNA (with a specific anti-codon) for a particular amino acid; and 'wobble' base-pairing, i.e. permitting non-standard base-pairing at the 3rd anti-codon position.
Source: RNAcentral